AUCACCUGGGGACCUUGUUAAGAUGCAGAUUCUGAUUCAGUAGGUGUGGAGUAGGGCCUGAGAUUCUGCAUUUUUAACAAGCUACCAGGUGAUUGGUC
Molecule: microRNA precursor, 98 nt
Filed under: Loxodonta africana (African savanna elephant)
Lineage: Eukaryota; Metazoa; Chordata; Mammalia; Proboscidea; Elephantidae
Description: mir-544 microRNA precursor family
Rfam family: mir-544 microRNA precursor family
Source: Rfam by way of RNAcentral